UAACAUUUAUCUAAAGCUUACUCGGUUUCAGGCAUCAUCUUAAACACUUUACAUUUUUAAACCCCUCACCAGGACUCUAAGAAACAGUUACAAUUAUUACAGAGACGAGAAAACUGAAGCACAGAGGAGUUCAGAAACCUGCUGAAAGUCAUACAGCCUAGAGAAAGCGACGGAGUAGAAUUCAAACUCAGGCUGUCUGGCUCCAGAGUCUGUAUUCGUAACAGCUAUGCUAUACUUCCUGUGAGAAGAGCAAGAUGAAACUAGAUGGAGGAAACACCAGAGACAGCCACAGGCAGUUACCAGAGGGUCAUGCUCUUUCCAUAGUCAGCAGCUGCAGUCCCUUGGCGUCUUGUCAGUAUCUGAGGCUGACCUUCCCCGGGAAAGUUUCAGGAUCUGUCAGCCUUUGUCUAAACUCCAACGGUGUGUCAAGAUCAUCCCAAGUGCACCUUCACAAUGACUCUGACUCUCAGAAGGCCUGGCUGAAACUUCAACUUCUAAAUGAAAGUACUUCUUCUAAAUGGUAAUACAUUCCCCAGCUCGCCCUGUGAGAGGCUUCUUUGGCAGGAUCCCAUGCGGGAGAGAACACCAAUGAAGACAAGUCAGCACCAUGACGACCUCCACAAAGACAAUGGCUCUCUGAUUCAUGCCUGAAAUAUUUGUUGUUGAUGGUGCAAAUAAAUGGUAAGGCUUCUGAAAAUGACUUUUCAGAAGAU
This 713-nucleotide long non-coding RNA is filed under the name Rhinopithecus bieti (black snub-nosed monkey). Its description in RNAcentral is "lncRNA (ENSRBIG00000045381.1)". Lineage: Eukaryota; Metazoa; Chordata; Mammalia; Primates; Cercopithecidae. The record is from RNAcentral.